CCUACGGGUUGCAGCAGUGGGGAAUAUUGGACAAUGGGCGCAAGCCUGAUGGAGCAACGCCGCGUGUGUGAUGAAGGGUUUCGGCUCGUAAAACACUGUUAUAAGAGAAGAACGGUACUGAGAGUAACUGUUCAGUGUGUGACGGUAUCUUACCAGAAAGGAACGGCUAAAUACGUGCCAGCAGCCGCGGUAAUACGUAUGUUCCAAGCGUUAUCCGGAUUUAUUGGGCGUAUAGCGAGCGCAGACGGUUAUUUAAGUCUGAAGUGAAAGCCCUCAGCUCAACUGAGAAAUUGCUUUGGAAACUGGAUGACUUGAGUGCAGUAGAGGAAAGUGGAACUCCAUGUGUAGCGGUGAAAUGCGUAGAUAUAUGGAAGAACACCAGUGGCGAAGGCGGCUUUCUGGACUGUAACUGACGUUGAGGCUCGAAAGUGUGGGUAGCAAACAGGAUUAGAUACCCGGGUAGUC
This 465-nucleotide ribosomal RNA is filed under the name uncultured bacterium. RNAcentral's name for it is "bacterial SSU rRNA". It matches the Rfam family "Bacterial small subunit ribosomal RNA", at positions 338 to 795 of the family's 1533-position model. The record is from RNAcentral.